Molecule: ribosomal RNA, 468 nt
Filed under: uncultured bacterium
Lineage: Bacteria
Description: partial 16S ribosomal RNA
Rfam family: Bacterial small subunit ribosomal RNA
Source: RNAcentral
GACGAACGCUGGCGGCGUGCUUAACACAUGCAAGUCGAACGGAAAGGCCCUGCUUUUGUGGGGUGCUCGAGUGGCGAACGGGUGAGUAACACGUGAGUAACCUGCCCUUGACUUUGGGAUAACUUCAGGAAACUGGGGCUAAUACCGGAUAGGAGCUCCUGCUGCAUGGUGGGGGUUGGAAAGUUUCGGCGGUUGGGGAUGGACUCGCGGCUUAUCCGCUUGUUGGGGGGGUAGUGGCUUACCAAGGGUUUGACGGGUAGCCGGCCUGGGAGGGUGACCGGCCACAUUGGGGCUGAGGUAGGGCCCAGAGGCCAACGGGAGGCAGCAGUGGGGAAUAUUGCACAAUGGGCGGAAGCCUGAUGCAGCAACGCCGGGUGCGGGAUGACGGCCUUCGGGUGGUAAACCGCUUUCGCCUGUGACGAAGCGUGAGUGACGGUAAUGGGUAAAGAAGCACCGGCUAACUACGUG